Molecule: ribosomal RNA, 439 nt
Filed under: uncultured bacterium
Lineage: Bacteria
Description: bacterial SSU rRNA
Rfam family: Bacterial small subunit ribosomal RNA
Source: RNAcentral
GCACAACGCGAAGAACCUUACCAGGCCUUGACAUCCAAUGAACUUUCCAGAGAUGCAGUUGUGCCUUCGGGAACGCUAAGACAGGUGCUGCAUGGCUGUCGUCAGCUCGUGUUGUGAAAUGUUGGGUUAAGUCCCGCAACGAGCGCAACCCUUAUCCUUAGUUGCCAGCACGUAAUGGUGGGAACUCUAGGGAGACUGCCGGUGAUAAACCGGAGGAAGGUGGGGACGACGUCAAGUCAUCAUGGCCCUUACGAGUAGGGCUACACACGUGCUACAAUGGUACGUACAGAGGGAGGCAAGCUGGCGACAGUGAGCGGAUCUCUUAAAGCGUAUCGUAGUCCGGAUCGCAGUCUGCAACUCGACUGCGUGAAGUCGGAAUCGCUAGUAAUCGCAAAUCAGAAUGUUGCGGUGAAUACGUUCCCGGGUCUUGUACACACCG